CCCAGACUCCUACGGGAGGCAGCAGUGGGGGAUAUUGCACAAUGGGGGGAACCCUGAUGCAGCGACGCCGCGUGGGUGAAGAAGCGCCUCGGCGCGUAAAGCCCUGUCAGCAGGGAAGAAAAUGACGGUACCUGAAGAAGAAGCCCCGGCUAACUACGUGCCAGCAGCCGCGGUAAUACGUAGGGGGCAAGCGUUAUCCGGAUUUACUGGGUGUAAAGGGGGCGCAGACGGCGAUGCAAGCCAGGAGUGAAAGCCCGGGGCCCAACCCCGGGACUGCAUUGGGAACUGGCGUGCUGGAGUGCCGGAGGGGCAGGCGGAAUUCCUGGUGUAGCGGUGAAAUGCGUAGAUAUCAGGAGGAACACCGGUGGCGAAGGCGGCCUGCUGGACGGAUACUGACGCUGAGGCCCGAAAGCGUGGGGAGCGAACAGGAUUAGAUACCCCAGUAA
Molecule: ribosomal RNA, 446 nt
Filed under: uncultured bacterium
Lineage: Bacteria
Description: bacterial SSU rRNA
Rfam family: Bacterial small subunit ribosomal RNA
Source: RNAcentral